RNAcentral lists this ribosomal RNA (1428 nucleotides) under Limosilactobacillus fermentum. RNAcentral describes it as "bacterial SSU rRNA". It matches the Rfam family "Bacterial small subunit ribosomal RNA". Lineage: Bacteria; Bacillati; Bacillota; Bacilli; Lactobacillales; Lactobacillaceae. The record is from RNAcentral.
UGAUUGAUGGUGCUUGCACCUGAUUGAUUUUGGUCGCCAACGAGUGGCGGACGGGUGAGUAACACGUAGGUAACCUGCCCAGAAGCGGGGGACAACAUUUGGAAACAGAUGCUAAUACCGCAUAACAGCGUUGUUCGCAUGAACAACGCUUAAAAGAUGGCUUCUCGCUAUCACUUCUGGAUGGACCUGCGGUGCAUUAGCUUGUUGGUGGGGUAACGGCCUACCAAGGCGAUGAUGCAUAGCCGAGUUGAGAGACUGAUCGGCCACAAUGGGACUGAGACACGGCCCAUACUCCUACGGGAGGCAGCAGUAGGGAAUCUUCCACAAUGGGCGCAAGCCUGAUGGAGCAACACCGCGUGAGUGAAGAAGGGUUUCGGCUCGUAAAGCUCUGUUGUUAAAGAAGAACACGUAUGAGAGUAACUGUUCAUACGUUGACGGUAUUUAACCAGAAAGUCACGGCUAACUACGUGCCAGCAGCCGCGGUAAUACGUAGGUGGCAAGCGUUAUCCGGAUUUAUUGGGCGUAAAGAGAGUGCAGGCGGUUUUCUAAGUCUGAUGUGAAAGCCUUCGGCUUAACCGGAGAAGUGCAUCGGAAACUGGAUAACUUGAGUGCAGAAGAGGGUAGUGGAACUCCAUGUGUAGCGGUGGAAUGCGUAGAUAUAUGGAAGAACACCAGUGGCGAAGGCGGCUACCUGGUCUGCAACUGACGCUGAGACUCGAAAGCAUGGGUAGCGAACAGGAUUAGAUACCCUGGUAGUCCAUGCCGUAAACGAUGAGUGCUAGGUGUUGGAGGGUUUCCGCCCUUCAGUGCCGGAGCUAACGCAUUAAGCACUCCGCCUGGGGAGUACGACCGCAAGGUUGAAACUCAAAGGAAUUGACGGGGGCCCGCACAAGCGGUGGAGCAUGUGGUUUAAUUCGAAGCUACGCGAAGAACCUUACCAGGUCUUGACAUCUUGCGCCAACCCUAGAGAUAGGGCGUUUCCUUCGGGAACGCAAUGACAGGUGGUGCAUGGUCGUCGUCAGCUCGUGUCGUGAGAUGUUGGGUUAAGUCCCGCAACGAGCGCAACCCUUGUUACUAGUUGCCAGCAUUAAGUUGGGCACUCUAGUGAGACUGCCGGUGACAAACCGGAGGAAGGUGGGGACGACGUCAGAUCAUCAUGCCCCUUAUGACCUGGGCUACACACGUGCUACAAUGGACGGUACAACGAGUCGCGAACUCGCGAGGGCAAGCAAAUCUCUUAAAACCGUUCUCAGUUCGGACUGCAGGCUGCAACUCGCCUGCACGAAGUCGGAAUCGCUAGUAAUCGCGGAUCAGCAUGCCGCGGUGAAUACGUUCCCGGGCCUUGUACACACCGCCCGUCACACCAUGAGAGUUUGUAACACCCAAAGUCGGUGGGGUAACCUUUUAGGAGCCAGCCGCCUAAGGUGA